This 149-nucleotide unclassified non-coding RNA is filed under the name uncultured Helotiales. RNAcentral's name for it is "sequence contains ITS2". Lineage: Eukaryota; Fungi; Ascomycota; Leotiomycetes; Helotiales. The record is from RNAcentral.
CAACCCUCAAGCUCUGCUUGGCAUUGGACCCCGCGGCUUACCCCGCGGGCCCUAAAAUCAGUGGCGGCGUCCUCAGGCUCCGAACGUAGUAUAUAUUCCUCGCUACGGAGUCCUGGCGGCGGUAGCCAUCAACCCCCAACUUUCUAAGU